AUUUGACAAUAGGACAUCGAUUUUUGAUGUUUGCAGUCUCAUCUCUAUGAUGGGAAGCCCUUCAAUGAUCAUUUCUGUUAAGGUUAAGCCACGUAAUGUAGAGCACAUUCAUUUAAAAUCAUGUAUUGCUAUUAUUUGAAUGUAAAAUCGAAAAUAGUUGUCACGUCUGUUAGGUUGUUUUGAUUUUUUUUGGGUGGGUUUAUAUAAAUCUAGAAUGAUAGGAGGGGGAAGAUAUUCGGUUUUGUACAGCCUAUGAUUUUUUGAGAAGGAUGUAAAUUUUGUUGUCUAUCUUCAUUUCAAUGGUUGAUUUUUUUAUUUAUUUUUCAUCUGGGUGAUUCCAGCUACGUGUGUGGCAUUAUUUUGUCAGGAGCACAAUUAUUUGGAGGAAGUAAUAGGAGUUUGGUGUUGGGAAGAUGUGCAGUGGUGAAUAGACAGAUAUUUGAGGAUGUGAGGGGUGAGGAGGUGUGGAGAGGGUUCGUUUUUGGGCUUCUCUUUGGGUAUUGGUGUCGUCAAAGUUUAGGAAGAGUUUUGCAACUAUGGCACGUUGAAAUUGAUUUUGUAGGUUCUCGUUGUCCUAUUGUCUAAAAUAACAGUAUUAAUCUGAAUUAGAACAUUUAGGUAUAUGUUGUAAUCGUAGCAAUGAAAUGCUUUCUUGUAAACUUGAUUGUUUGAUAGC
RNAcentral lists this long non-coding RNA (676 nucleotides) under Prunus dulcis (almond). RNAcentral describes it as "sRNA ncRNA". The record is from RNAcentral. Lineage: Eukaryota; Viridiplantae; Streptophyta; Magnoliopsida; Rosales; Rosaceae.